AGAGUUUGAUCAUGGCUCAGAUUGAACGCUGGCGGCAGGCCUAACACAUGCAAGUCGAACGGUAGCAGGAUGUGCUUGCACAUCGCUGACGAGUGGCGGACGGGUGAGUAAUGCUUGGGAACUUGCCUUUGCGAGGGGGAUAACAGUUGGAAACGACUGCUAAUACCGCAUAACGUCUUCGGACCAAACGGGGCUUAGGCUCCGGCGCAGAGAGAGGCCCAAGUGAGAUUAGCUAGUUGGUGAGGUAAAGGCUCACCAAGGCGACGAUCUCUAGCUGUUCUGAGAGGAAGAUCAGCCACACUGGGACUGAGACACGGCCCAGACUCCUACGGGAGGCAGCAGUGGGGAAUAUUGCACAAUGGGGGAAACCCUGAUGCAGCCAUGCCGCGUGUGUGAAGAAGGCCUUCGGGUUGUAAAGCACUUUCAGUUGUGAGGAAAAGUGAGUAGUUAAUACCUGCUCACCGUGACGUUAGCAACAGAAGAAGCACCGGCUAACUCCGUGCCAGCAGCCGCGGUAAUACGGAGGGUGCGAGCGUUAAUCGGAAUUACUGGGCGUAAAGCGCACGCAGGCGGUUUGUUAAGCUAGAUGUGAAAGCCCCGGGCUCAACCUGGGACGGUCAUUUAGAACUGGCAGACUAGAGUCUUGGAGAGGGGAGUGGAAUUCCAGGUGUAGCGGUGAAAUGCGUAGAUAUCUGGAGGAACAUCAGUGGCGAAGGCGACUCCCUGGCCAAAGACUGACGCUCAUGUGCGAAAGUGUGGGUAGCGAACAGGAUUAGAUACCCUGGUAGUCC
RNAcentral lists this ribosomal RNA (791 nucleotides) under uncultured bacterium. RNAcentral describes it as "bacterial SSU rRNA". It matches the Rfam family "Bacterial small subunit ribosomal RNA", at positions 8 to 796 of the family's 1533-position model. The record is from RNAcentral.